RNAcentral lists this long non-coding RNA (456 nucleotides) under Ananas comosus (pineapple). RNAcentral describes it as "long non-coding RNA (ACOM_LNC019186)". Lineage: Eukaryota; Viridiplantae; Streptophyta; Magnoliopsida; Poales; Bromeliaceae. The record is from RNAcentral.
AAGCAAUAAUUAUUUAUAUCGUUCUCGAAAUUUAUGAAGUAUAUAUCAUAUUUAUCGCUACUUCUCGUAUAUUUCUCCGUUAUUCAAAAAUACCUCGAUUGGUUGUGUCCUUAAGUCUUCUGAAGUUAAACCUAUGUUGAAUUUCUACCAUAAUUAAAAAAUAGUUAAAAUAUCUAUUUUGUUCUUUCUUGAAUUAAAGCCAAAUAAGAUAAAUUGAUGAUGAUAAAAAGCUAUAUUUAUUUAAUAGAGAUAACGGUUGUUUCUAACGGUUCACUAACAAAAUUUAAUUCUCAAAUAUAUUUAAAAGAAUUUGUAAUCUUAAAAAAAUAUUUUUAAUACUAACCUUCCAAGAGCGAUAAAUAAAAAAAAAUAAGAAAGUCGAAAAUUUUUUAGUAACAUAUAAGUAAUUGCCUUUUAAAAUUAUUAUUAUUCAACUAUUGUUUCUUUUCUUAAAAC